GUGGAUGUAGCUCAGCGGUAGAGUCCCAGAUUGUGGAUCUGGUUGUCGCGGGUUCGAGACCCGUCAUCCACC
RNAcentral lists this transfer RNA (72 nucleotides) under Treponema sp. RNAcentral describes it as "tRNA-His". It matches the Rfam family "tRNA". Rfam says of the family: Transfer RNA (tRNA) molecules are approximately 80 nucleotides in length. The record is from RNAcentral. Lineage: Bacteria; Pseudomonadati; Spirochaetota; Spirochaetia; Treponematales; Treponemataceae.